This 497-nucleotide ribosomal RNA is filed under the name uncultured bacterium. RNAcentral's name for it is "partial 16S ribosomal RNA". It matches the Rfam family "Bacterial small subunit ribosomal RNA", at positions 28 to 507 of the family's 1533-position model. The record is from RNAcentral.
GAUGAACGCUGGCGGCGUGCCUAAUACAUGCAAGUCGAGCGAACAGACGAGGAGCUUGCUCCUCUGACGUUAGCGGCGGACGGGUGAGUAACACGUGGAUAACCUACCUAUAAGACUGGGAUAACUUCGGGAAACCGGAGCUAAUACCGGAUAAUAUAUUGAACCGCAUGGUUCAAUAGUGAAAGACGGUUUUGCUGUCACUUAUAGAUGGAUCCGCGCCGCAUUAGCUAGUUGGUAAGGUAACGGCUUACCAAGGCAACGAUGCGUAGCCGACCUGAGAGGGUGAUCGGCCACACUGGAACUGAGACACGGCCCAGACUCCUACGGGAGGCAGCGGUAGGGAAUCUUCCGCAAUGGGCGAAAGCCUGACGGAGCAACGCCGCGUGAGUGAUGAAGGUCUUCGGAUCGUAAAACUCUGUUAUUAGGGAAGAACAAAUGUGUAAGUAACUAUGCACGUCUUGACGGUACCUAAUCAGAAAGCCACGGCUAACUACGUG